RNAcentral lists this ribosomal RNA (255 nucleotides) under uncultured bacterium. RNAcentral's name for it is "partial 16S ribosomal RNA". It matches the Rfam family "Bacterial small subunit ribosomal RNA", at positions 78 to 334 of the family's 1533-position model. The record is from RNAcentral.
UCUUUCUUUGCUGGCGACCGGCGCACGGGUGAGUAACACGUAUCCAACCUGCCCUUUACUCGGGGAUAGCCUUUCGAAAGAAAGAUUAAUACCCGAUAGUAUAAUGAUUCCGCAUGGUUUCAUUAUUAAAGGAUUCCGGUAAAGGAUGGGGAUGCGUUCCAUUAGGUUGUUGGUGAGGUAACGGCUCACCAAGCCUUCGAUGGAUAGGGGUUCUGAGAGGAAGGUCCCCCACAUUGGAACUGAGACACGGUCCGA